GACGUCGAAUAUCGACGUCAAAAACACGAUCAACUUUGGUGUUUAUGACGUCGAUAUUCGACGUCAUAAACACGAUCAACUUUUGUGUUUAUGACGUCUAUAUUCGACGUCAUAAACACGAUCAACUUUGGUGUUUAUGACGUCGAUAUUCGACGUCAUAAACACGAUCAACUUAGGUGUUUAUGACGUCGAUAUUCGACGCCAUAAACACGAUCAAAUUCGGUGCUUAUGACGUCGAUAUUCGACGUCAUAAACACGAUCAACUUUGGUGUUUAUGACGUCGAUAUUCGACGUC
This 295-nucleotide microRNA precursor is filed under the name Paramuricea clavata. Lineage: Eukaryota; Metazoa; Cnidaria; Anthozoa; Malacalcyonacea; Plexauridae. The record is from RNAcentral.